Molecule: non-coding RNA, 73 nt
Organism: Ailuropoda melanoleuca (giant panda)
Lineage: Eukaryota; Metazoa; Chordata; Mammalia; Carnivora; Ursidae
Source: Rfam
GCCCAGCUGGCUCAGUCAGUAGAGUGUGCAACUCUUGAUCUCAGGGUUGUGAGUUCGAGCCGCAUGUUGGGUG